GUAGAGAGGCUGGAGCUGUUCCCUGUGGAGCUGGAGAAGGGUGAGACACGGCCGCGGGGUGGGGGUGGGGGGUGUCUCCACUGGCGCCAGCUCUGCCCUGGGCCCUGGCGUGGGGUGGGGGUGGGGGGGCUUCCUCGGGGACUUUGGUGUCACCCCUGCCAGCGCCCCCGGCCACACGGACUCCAUUGCGGCCGGAGCUCCCACCACCGACCCUGUCCUGCCCCACUCUGUGCUCACUCAGCCCAGCUGCCAGGUCCCCGGGGGGGCGCUGGGGGCUGGGCUCUGGGCACUGUGUGGGCCUCGCGCUGAUGGGAGGCCAGCACUGAUGGGACACUCCCAGCCAACUGUGUCCUCACAGGCUGUCAUGGGUGCCGGGCAGGGAUGGGAGGGGCCGCCGUAACAGCAUGUAGACUCAGGUCAGUGGGGUCCCCGAGGAAGGAAUGCUUGCAUUGAGCUCUGAAGGUGGAGGUGGGGGGGUGGGUAGAACUCAGGAGAGCUUGCAGGAAAGAGAAAAGAGAGACUCGGCUAGAUUUUGAUCACGAGGGCAAGGGGGGUAUGUGGGGCCUCGUAGACCACGUGGAGGACAGGUGGUCCCCGUGGAUGGACCGGGAAACCGUGGCAGGGCAUGGGAAAGGUAUUUUAGAAAGACCACCACAGGCUGUGCUGUGGGGAGAAGGGUCAUAAGUGGAUGGGGAGAGACCACAGUGGUGUGGACCAGACGAUGGCUGUGUGGAAGUGGGUGCCUCCUUGCGAGGCAGAAUCUGCAGGAUCUAGAGGUUAUUUGGCCCUGGCUGAGGCCGUGAGGGGGGAGGGAGGAAUCCAGGUGACUCCCAGGCCCCAGGAGGGAGUGGCAGACGGGAAGAGCCUGUUUGUGGGGGAAGAUAAGAGUUUGGAUGUCAGGGGCCCGUGAGACAGGAGGGGGGGCAGCUGCGGAGAGCAAAGCGGGAAAUCCCCAGUCAUUGAGGCUGUGAGUAUGGGUGAGUCUGUGUAGAGGAGACCAACCCCAUCGUGGCCACCCCCACGCCAUCCCAUCCCUCUGCACCCCUCAUCUGCAUGCAGAAUUGUCUCUGGCCAACCCCCCGGGCCACCCUCGGCCUGCCUUGCUGCCCAGUGGUUCUUGGGGGUGGAGAGCACAGAGCAGGGAGUGACCCACGAGCCUCCUGGUUGGCUUGACAAAGAGAGCGGAGAGAACGGUGUCCCUUCCCUAGUUGCGGACAUCCCCUGAGUGCGGGGCCUGCUGCUCGGGGUCGGGCCGUGCCCUGGGGUGAGGUUGGAGACUGGGGUGGGGGGGACGUCUCUCUCUCUCUGUCCCCCUGCAAGCCCUGGCUGGAACGCCUCACCCCACCCCCACCUCCCAACACCAGCCUCUCACGACUUUUUGCUCCACAGACUCUGAGGGCCUGGGCAUCAGCAUCAUCGGUAUGGGGGCCGGGGCGGACAUGGGCCUGGAGAAGCUGGGCAUCUUCGUGAAGACCGUGACCGAGGGUGGUGCAGCCCAUCGGGACGGCAGGUACCGCCUCCCCCUCCCCCACUGGCUGCCAGCCGCGGGGCGGGCCACUGUUUGUGUGGGGCUCAGGUAUUCCUGGAGCCUUACUGUGCUAGAUGCUGGUCCAGGGGGUACAGCGCCGAACACAACUGAUGGGACCCCUGCCCUCAAGGCACUUACAUUCUUUGGAGGGGGGCUGCACGGAGGCAUCGUACGUCCUGGCUUUCGGUGUGUGUUGGACCGCGGUAGGGAGAGCACAGGCGUGGAGGUUGUGUUCCUGGCGGAGACCUCUGAGCUUUUUGAUUUUCACUUAGCAAAUACCGAGUCUCUGGCUCUGUGGGCGGGGCUGGAGCCAGCCCUGGGGUGUCAGUGAUGAGGGCCUUGCCCUCAAGAAGCAUGCGGUAUGUUGAGGCAGACGGGCAUCCAAGUGGACGCACAGAAACCACGGGAAAAGUAGCACAGGGGUGCCACGAAGGCAUCAAAAGGAGGACUUGUUCUCUCUGGCUCGCAGGGAAGGCUUCCUGGAGGAAGUGACAUUGGAGCUGAGACCUGAAGGAUGAGCAGGAGUUAGCCAGGCUGAGGGAGUAGAAUGUGCAGCAGGUUCCAGGAAGGGGACUGAAAGCAGGCGGGUGUGGCGGGAGCAUAGCAAGCAAGGGGGAUCCAGGUGCGUGGUGUGGCUAGAAAGACUGGUGGGCCGUGCCUGGAGGGGAGACGCUCCUUGUGUGCGUGCGUGUGCAUGUGUGUGCAUGGGUGCUCUGCUUGGCGUCUGAAGCUGGAGGGGUCAGAAGGUUCAGGGAGGGCCUCCUGGAGCCCCAGGCAGCCCAGUGACCCCACUGUGGGCCCCUCCACUAUGUGUGUGUAUCGCAGGGGGGAAGUGGGACGGGCUUUAGGGUGUCCCCGGGGUUGUCGGAAGUUGGAGGUUGAUAAUCAGGGGUGCCUUGUGGUGGUACCUCCCAACCCGGACCCCCUCAGUGUGACAGAGGUGAAUGGGUGUCCCUGUGAGGGCUGGGUGACUUGGGGUCAUGUUGCUGGAGCUUGGGUUGCCUCAUUCAGGGUGCUGCUGCCUGCUGUGGCCCUGGGAGCUCGGGGGGCAGACAAAAGGAAGGUGACGGUCUCCGCCCUUUCCCUUACCCCCUCAUUUGAAUUUCCAGAGCCUUCCCUGUGGUCCUCCGUUGGUGGUGUGGGAAGUGUGUGCCCAUGUUGAGUGUGGCCACACGUGGGGCGUGCGGGGGUGAGCUCUUCACAAUAGGCCAUUUCCUCCAUUUCCGCAUAGGAGGCCGGGGAGAAGGCCUGGAGCUUGCAGGGAGGUGGGAGUGGAGGAAGGAGGUGGCCAAGGGUCCCGCCAGUCCCUUCGUCCCCCUCGGCAGGCUGGGCCGGACACCCCCGUCUCUCUCCUUGCGCCGAGAAGCAGGGCCCCUCGUGCCACACCGAGAACGUGGUGGGGGCUGUGUCCCCGUAUGAGGGUGCCGUGAGCCUACGGGCCAGCACGUGAGCACUGCAGUUUGCUCCGCUACAUGGGUCUCGGGCAUUUGGGAGCCACUCGGCAGACCCGGGUCUGUAGACGUGGACUUAGAAGCGGACCGUGUGUCACCUGUGCUUCGGGCCUCCGCCGGCGUCCGUGGUGGUAAUGAACUCUGGAUGCUCUACACCCGCUCUGUCGGGUGUGACGGAGGAGGGACAGGGGUGUGAUUGUCGCAGGACGUGUGCCUGCCACCACUCCUGGUCCUGCGUGCCCGUGUCUGCUUUGCCUGCCCGGGUCUCCCUGCCCGCUGGUGAGUCUGGGACGAUACGGGAUGCUCUGGCCUCAUGCGUUUUAUGCAAGUAGACAAAGUACCAGGGCCCAGCGGGGACUGAGCCUCAAGUUUCGGAUGGGAGGGGGACCACCUCUACCUCAGCUCCGGUUCCCCGGUGACCCCCGCUGACCAGUGUGGCCUCUCCCAGGAUCCAAGUGAAUGAUCUCCUUGUGGAGGUGGAUGGCACGAGUCUGGUGGGAGUGACCCAGAGCUUUGCAGCCUCCGUGCUCCGGAACACCAAGGGUCGAGUGCGGUAAGGGCCCGGAGCAGGGGGGGCUGGGUGGGGGAGGUGGGAGCGGACGGGAGGUUUGGCCCUCAUCCCGGCACUCAGCCCACCUGGCCGUACCCAGGUAAGGUUCUGGGCAGCCCGCCUUAUUUUUUUUUUUUAAUUAAAGUUUAUUUUUAUUUAUUUUGAGAGCGAGAGAGCAAGCGGGGGAGGGACAGAGAGAAAGAAUCCCAAGCAGGCUCUGCCCUGUCCGUGCAGAGCCCGGUGUAGGGCUCGAACACACGGACCCUGAGAUCGUGACCUGAGCCGACUCCAAGAGUCAGAUGAUUAACCGACCGACCGAGCCACUGGGCGGCUCACCACACAGAGGAGCUUUCAUGGCCUCCCUCCCCAAAGGAAUUGCUGUGCCCGUAUCCCUACCCUACGCCUGCCGUCCUCUCCCAAGCCCCUGAGUACUGCUGGCCACCAGCACAGGCUUCAAGGCCUAUGGCCCGCUGCACCUCCAAACUGGCCUCUUGGACUUAUUCUUCCCCUGCUUGUCCGUGACUAACUCACCAAAGAACCAAGAUGUGCAGGGAGAAUGCCAUCCAAAUUGGAGUCUCCCCCACCGGGCACCUACCCCAUCCUUCUCUCUCACCCACUGUGUAAUCCUGGCCGACUCUCCUCCCCGGGCCUGUCGGUGAAGGGAGCUGGGCUAGGAGCUCCUUACGUCCCUCUCUGGCAUAACAUUCGGGGACCACUCCCUGCCCCCUCCAAGAGGGGCACUGCCCCCAGGAAAGGGUGGUGGACAGAAACAGGAUGUGGGUGGCCACGGAGAGGAGGGGCUGGUGCCUGGAAGUUCCACUACUUCCUCUCCAUCCCAAUCUCCACUCACCAUCGUCCCGCCCCUUCCUGAAGCUUGGGGGCUUGGAGCUCACACAAGGCACACCCCCACAGCCCCAGGGCAGGGGAGUGGGGAAGCCGGCUGCUGGGAUGGGUCAGGGCCCCGAUUUCUCCCCCGGUGGUGGAGGAAGAGCCCCCUGCCCAGGCGGCUUCUGAGCUCCUGUCCCCUGCAGCCCAGCAGGGGGUUUGGCUGACAUCACCCCUCCCCCAAAACUGGCCGCGAGGGUUAGCGGGCCUUCUGCCUCUCUGGGGAAGGAAACCCAAGAAGGGCCCCCAGCUCCCCCAUUCAUUAUUAACACUCCACGGCCUCUGGACUCAACCCUCUCAUUUCACCUCCCUUGGGAGGGUCCGGGGGGCGGAGGUGGUGCGCCAGCGGGGAGGAUGGUGGCAUCACCCAGUCGAAGACAGAGGCGAAGGCAUGACGCUAGUGCCCCUGCAGAUUUAUGAUUGGCCGGGAGCGGCCAGGCGAGCAGAGUGAGGUGGCCCAGCUAAUUCAGCAGACCCUGGAACAGGAGCGAUGGCAGCGGGAGAUGAUGGAGCAGAGAUACGCCCAGUACGGGGAGGACGACGAGGAGGUAGGGACUGCCGGCCUGGCCGGUGGCAUCAUCGCCCCCUGGUGGCUGGAUGGAGCAUUACAACCAUCCUCUGACCCUGCUUUCCCAGGCCUUGUGAAGAAGGCGGGCGCACACCAGUCCCUAUCCUGGGGGAGUCCCCAGACGGAGGGAGGACAUGCAGACCCUUCCUUCAAAGAACACUUAGUCUUCUGGAAGGGGUCACACUUUCUGUCUUCAGAGACCCUUCCUGCUCCUACAAGGAAAACACAGUUCCUUCAAAGAGUCCCUACUCUGAGGGGAAGGCAUACAUAGCCUCUACCCUCAGGGGACCUAAUCUAAGGAAGGAGAUGGGGCUCCAGACCUCAGGGGACCCAUGGAGUGAAGGGAAAAGCACAGGCUGUUUCUUCAGGGCUCCCAGUCUUACAGGGGAACUACCUGGGCCUUCAGGGGACUCCCCAGGCUGCUGGGGGCAGACGCAAACCACGCCCACUGGCGUAGCCCCAGUCUGAUGGGGGAGGCAUGAACCACACCCCCGGGUAGCCCCCCAGUCUGACUUGGGCAGACCGUUGCCAGUCUAAGCCCCGCUCAUCAGGGCUGAGGGAGGCCGGGGUGGACAGGAUGUGCAGUCGCCUCUCUCCCUUCGCAGACAGGAGAAUAUGCCACCGACGAGGAUGAGGAGCUCAGCCCCACGUUUCCAGGGGGCGAGAUGGCCAUCGAGGUGUUCGAGCUGGCGGAAAACGAGGACGCCUUGUCCCCCGUGGACAUGGA
Molecule: long non-coding RNA, 5709 nt
Filed under: Lynx pardinus (Iberian lynx)
Lineage: Eukaryota; Metazoa; Chordata; Mammalia; Carnivora; Felidae
Source: RNAcentral